CCUACGGGUGGCAGCAGUGAGGAAUAUUGGUCAAUGGUCGUGAGCCUGAACCAGCCAAGCCGCGUGAGGGAGGAAGGUACAGAGUAUCGUAAACCUCUUUUAUCAGGGAAUAAAGACCGGGACGUGUCCCGGGUUGUAUGUACCUUAUGAAAAAGCAUCGGCUAACUCCGUGCCAGCAGCCGCGGUAAUACGGAGGAUCCGAGCGUUAUCCGGAUUUAUUGGGUUUAAAGGGUGCGUAGGCGGCCUUUUAAGUCAGCGGUGAAAGUCCGGGGCUCAACCACAGAAUCGCCGUUGAAACUGGGAGGCUUGAGUUGGAUAGAGGUAUGCGGAAUGCGCGGUGUAGCGGUGAAAUGCUUAGAUAUCGCGCAGAACUCCGAUUGCGAAGGCAGCAUGCCAGGUCAUGACUGACGCUGAGGCACGAAAGCGUGGGGAUCAAACAGGAUUAGAUACCCGUGUAGUC
RNAcentral lists this ribosomal RNA (460 nucleotides) under uncultured bacterium. RNAcentral describes it as "partial 16S ribosomal RNA". It matches the Rfam family "Bacterial small subunit ribosomal RNA", at positions 338 to 795 of the family's 1533-position model. The record is from RNAcentral.